UAUUUAAUUGUCAGAGGUGAAAUUCUUGGAGCUAUAAAAGACAACUUACACGAAAGCAUUUCCAAGGAUGUUUUCAUUAAUCAAGAACGAAAGUUAGGGGAUUGAAGCCGAUCAGAUACCGUCGUAGUCUUAACCAUACAGUACGCCGACUAGGGCUCAGCCAAGGAUCUUUUGACUAGUUUGGCACCUUACGAGAAAUCAAAGUUUUUGGGUUCCGGGGGGAGUAUGGUCGCAAGGCUGAAACUUAAAGGAAUCGACAGAAGGGCACCACCAGGAGUGGAGCCUGGGGCUUAAUUUGACUCAACACGGGGAAACUCACCAGGUCCAGACAUAAUAAGGAUUGACAGAUUGAGAGCUCUUUCUUGAUUCUAUGGGUGGUGGUGCAUGGCCGUUCUUAGUUGGUGGAGUGAUUUGUUCAGGAAUUCUCUCAAGGAUCGAGACCUAAUCCUGCUAAAUAGUUAGGACACAGUUUGGGGGUCGUUAACUUCUUAGAGGGACUAUAGGGCAUUAGUCAAUGGAAGUUUGAGGCAAUAACAGGUCCAUGAUGUCCUUAGAGGUUUUGGGCCGCACCAGAAAAGCGCCGAUCAACUCAACGAGUAUUCAACCUUGGCCGGAAGGUCCAGAAGUCGGGAGAAAUAGCAUGUAUUAGGUGAUGAAUCAUCGCAAUUAUUGGAAGUAAUAAGGGAUUUUCAAGUAAGCGAGAGUCAUCAGAUUGAGCCGUUUGCGUGCCUCGCCCUACAACACACCGC
RNAcentral lists this ribosomal RNA (749 nucleotides) under uncultured eukaryote. RNAcentral's name for it is "bacterial SSU rRNA". It matches the Rfam family "Eukaryotic small subunit ribosomal RNA", at positions 895 to 1672 of the family's 1831-position model. The record is from RNAcentral.